RNAcentral lists this long non-coding RNA (1934 nucleotides) under Spirodela polyrhiza (greater duckweed). RNAcentral's name for it is "long non-coding RNA (SPOL_LNC001302)". Lineage: Eukaryota; Viridiplantae; Streptophyta; Magnoliopsida; Alismatales; Araceae. The record is from RNAcentral.
UGGACAGAUAACGAUGGCCCAGAGAGAGUUAGUUGAGGACAGGAACGGCGAUGGAAGUGGGCAACUGCCCGAGUGCUGCACCGUUCUCCCUCAUCAACCUUUAAGCUUCGCCAGCACCGUUAGAUGCCCUCAGGAACCAGUGAGGCAUCCAUUGUCGACAAAAUCAUUCCUCCCAAUAAACAAAGUCCCAACUUGAUCGGCCCCCAUUGAUGUGGGUCGGAAAGAGAAGUUCCCACUGAUUGGGGCUUCUCUCUCCGCGUGGAGCGCCGCCGUGGGCAGGUAGCUAUGAGUGGCUCCCGGAAAAGAGAAGGGCGGCGGCGAGGAAUCAUGUGCCAGCAAAAGGCCGGAUACCCACCGCUCGCCGGGAAAGAAAGCAUGCAUUAGACAGAGCAUAGCGGCGGCUGGCAAACCUUAGCUGACGACGACCUUAUGAGGUCGUGUCGUCAGCGGUGGACUCUCACUCUGCUCAGCGAAGAUCUGCACGGCGCCGCCAGGCUCUCGGCUAAGCCGACCGCUUCUCCAUUCCCCCCUGGGCCGAGUCUACUUCCCUUACCUCAGAGGAGAAAUAGAAACUCCUUUUCUCUACUAAAUUCCCCUCCCACGGCGGCCGCCGCAACAGCUCGCCGCCGGUAAGGUCCAGGUGGCCACCCGGGUUACGCCAUUCACGAGCCUGCAUCUUGCCUCUUUCUCCGUGCACCGAGAAGUCCCCCCCCCCCCCGUAUCACGUGUGGAUCCAGAGAACAAUCGUCACUCAUCCUCCCCCGCCCAUCGGUCAUGGAGAACUGCCGUCCGUCGCUGUAUCCUACUAAACCUGCGUGCCGUCGCCAAUCGGCAAGACGCAGCGAGUGGUCCUAUCGGCCCCGCCGGGCUUCCCCCUCUGACUACCAGCGACUGGAUCUGCCCGGCGCUUUGGCUUAAGGUUGGUUCGUUCGGCCUCCAAGAAAGCCCAUGUCCACGCAAGAGCGAGCUUGGGGUUAGGUCGCCGCCCUAACCAGCCCACGAAGAGGACGCUUCACCGGCGCAGCCUCGCUCAAACGACUAAAAUCAGGUAAUAAACCAUCACCCUCCGCCGGCGGCGACUGUUACCGGAGAGGAAGACGACGAUAAGACCAGACCUGAUCCAAUACGACGCCUUUAUCGUCAUCGUCUCUCACCCGUGAGAAGCAGACAGGCUCGACUCUGAGUCGGGUUGUCUUCGAUUUCCGCGGACAUCGCCCUGUGGACCUCAGCUGUCCGCAUUGCGUCGGAAGCGUCGCCUUCCCCGAUCAUGAUCUUACAUCGCUGCUUCGCGGAUUAAGUAACCUCCCGUAGGAGAGGACAGUGGCUACGUAGAGAGGGCGGUGAUGACACCGGCGGUGAACCGCAUCCUGCCUAUUUUAAUUUUUAACAUCAUUGGAGAUAAGGUAAAAUUAGGAAAAUAAUAGGGGUGGAAUCUGGAGAGGAGUUGAUUUCGUUUUUGAAAAAGGUGAGUAAAGUGGAGAUGGCAAAACAAGCCCGAUGUCAGCGUAGUCCGGUGCUAUUUUCCCAAAGCGUCGAAAUUCCUCAGUAUAUGCUCAAUAUUGCAGCAACGGAGGACGACCGACGAGCACCGCGCCUGCGCCGCCCCCAGUCCUCGCCAGCGCCGCCGCGGUGAGAGCGCACGAGGGACGGGAGAGAGGGGCGAGUAUCUUCUCCAGGCUUCGGGUUCCACUCUCUCUCGCCCUCCCUUCCUCCCUCCCUCCCUCCCUCCCUCCCUCCUUCUCUCUCUCUCUCUCUCUCUAGAGUCUCCCUUUCGUGCCAUUGUUGUGAGGUCCCCAUCUUCCCGUUGCCCUUCUUCUCCCAGUCCACCGGCUAGGAUCCCAAGCAGCUGAGGGGGAUCCGGUGCUCCGAGGCGUAAUGUGACCUCUCGCCGCCGGGAGGGACAAUUGCGACAGUGGCGACAGUGUCAGGGGGGG